GAUGAACGCUGGCGGCGUGCCUAAUACAUGCAAGUCGAGCGAACAGACGAGGAGCUUGCUCCUCUGACGUUAGCGGCGGACGGGUGAGUAACACGUGGAUAACCUACCUAUAAGACUGGGAUAACUUCGGGAAACCGGAGCUAAUACCGGAUAAUAUAUUGAACCGCAUGGUUCAAUAGUGAAAGACGGUUUUGCUGUCACUUAUAGAUGGAUCCGCGCCGCAUUAGCUAGUUGGUAAGGUAACGGCUUACCAAGGCAACGAUGCGUAGCCGACCUGAGAGGGUGAUCGGCCACACUGGAACUGAGACACGGUCCAGACUCCUAGGGGAGGCAGCAGUAGGGAAUCUUCCGCAAUGGGCGAAAGCCUGCCGGAGCAACGCCGCGUGAGUGAUGAAGGUCUUCGGAUCGUAAAACUCUGUUAUUAGGGAAGAACAAAUGUGUAAGUAACUAUGCACGUCUUGACGGUACCUAAUCAGAAAGCCACGGCUAACUACGUG
Molecule: ribosomal RNA, 497 nt
Filed under: uncultured bacterium
Lineage: Bacteria
Description: partial 16S ribosomal RNA
Rfam family: Bacterial small subunit ribosomal RNA
Source: RNAcentral